RNAcentral lists this long non-coding RNA (2050 nucleotides) under Cucumis sativus (cucumber). Its description in RNAcentral is "long non-coding RNA (CSAT_LNC000983)". The record is from RNAcentral. Lineage: Eukaryota; Viridiplantae; Streptophyta; Magnoliopsida; Cucurbitales; Cucurbitaceae.
CUGCAGCUGGUACAACAUUAUAUGUUUCAAUAGCUCCCAACACAUAACUGAACCACCAAAUUGAGGAGAAGGCAGAAGUUAAGAUACACAGAAGUAGUGCACAUUUUGACUUAAGAAAAUAAAACACAACAAAAACGUUGUUGGACAAUGAAAGAAUGAUAAGACAAAAACUUGGUGGUUAGAAUUUAUAUGCUCGCCUUUGUAAAAACUUGUUAAUUCAACCCUUUCUUCUUGAAGGUGAAGACAAUACUAAAGAAAUGAAAUUAAAUGUCCCAAACUAAAAACGAUAUGGUUAUAAUGGGGGCUAAUUCUGAAUCUUUUCAAAUCCCCCCUUCACUCUUCUUUACUAAUACAAAGAGUUUAUAAUAUCUUAAUCUAUUGUUGAUCAUUAAACAAACUUCAUUUAAUAAAAAAAAAUACGAUGAGAUACCAAAUAGCAAAAAUGAAUGAAAUGAGAUUCAUUAUUCACUUAGUUUAACUUGAAAUAAAAUAUAACAAGAUAUAUAUAUACACACCUUAUAUAGGACAUUAUGUAAUGGGACAAUGAAGAAUAAGUUCAAUAAACUUUAAUGUACCCCAAUCUACCAUAAACUUGAGUUCACUCAAAACCUUUAAGAAAAUGGACAAAUAGAAAUAUAAUCAAGCAAACAUAAUCAUUUUGUUAGGUACAUGCAAGAUAAACUAUUCCACACCAACAUCUAUAAUCAGUCUACAAAUGAAAUCUUUGAGUUUCACAAGCUAAACUCAAUUUAAACUUUGAACUAAUAAGUCCAAACAAUUUUCAUUGUAAUUCAAUAGUUAAAAACGUACCUUGGAGCCCUUCCAACCCUAUCAAAAAAACAUAUAAGUCUAGCACUUUAACAAAUUUCUAGUGCAUAUUAUGCAUCUCAAUUGAUCACAACAAAAUAAGAUUGAACAUAAAUACUCAUAAGUAAUACCUUUUCAAUGUUGCAUUUUCAUAAAAAUUCAAGAAGUAUUGUCACUCUCUCAAGGAUUCUUCAAGCCCUAAGUAUGAAAAAAUGUUCACUGAUUAAAUCGUACUCCAUUUACAUGAUAAUUUGACAAAGUUGAGUUGAUAACUCUCAUAAAGCCCUUAAUCCGCCCUCCCCCCAAUUUCCAACAUUAUUGUUGGAAAGGAACAACAAGAUCUUUCAAAGUAAGGAAAGAACUACUAUGGAGAUUUUAGAUGAUAUUAAUUCAAGCAAACGUUGAUAUACUACUAAUAUACCAUACUAAUUAGACUAAAACACUUUCAACGAGACUAGAACUAUACAAAAUAUACUUUAAACCACAAUAGUUGAAUAUGUAUUUUGGUAGGGAGGUAGACACUACUUACUUGAACAAAUAACGACAACGUCCUUGAAGUAAGAGAACUUCUGCUAAUCCUCAAUUCAAUCAAUUAUUCAAAAUGUCAUAAGGUAGUCAUAGGAAAAAAAUAUAGUUUAAAAACGUUGAUAAAAAGUAAGGUAAAAAAAGUGUAUAGACUUAAGUUUCAAAAACUUAAAGCCAAAAACCAAAUAGAUAACAUACAUAAAUUCCCUUGGAAAGUGUAUAGGCUUAAGUUUCAACAUACACAUUCAUACCUUUCCAAUGUGUAUAACAUACAUCGCGGUUUAUGUCUCAAGCAAAGGGUGUAUUUCAACAUUUUCAAAUUUACUCCUCUUGGAAAAAUCUAGCAUGGUAAGUGGCAAAUAAAAUUCUACCAUACAAAAUAAAUCUUAAUUCACCAUCAUUUUUUUGUCUUUCCUUUCAAUAUAGAACAUGUAGUAAUUUUUGUUGCUACUAUCCUUAUUGUAAGAAAGGGAGCGAGAACAUACCUAUAAUUAUCAAUAAUCACUUCCCUCUAUCCUUCAAUCAAAGCAACUCAAUAGCAACCAUAAACAAAAUAUCAAUAGAAAAAUCAAAAGUACUAAAAUUCACUUGGAAAAUGCAUAGACAAACAAAAAGACCCUACACACCAUCAAAGUUUAAGAUCUCACAUUUCAUUUUUCAUUUUUUUUUUCUCAAAGCUUCAGCCCAUAGCCAUGACAUCUCCUUUGGCCUUAAUUUC